This 515-nucleotide ribosomal RNA is filed under the name uncultured bacterium. RNAcentral's name for it is "bacterial SSU rRNA". It matches the Rfam family "Bacterial small subunit ribosomal RNA", at positions 28 to 589 of the family's 1533-position model. The record is from RNAcentral.
AGCGAACGCUGGCGGCAGGCCUAACACAUGCAAGUCGAACGGACCCUUCGGGGUUAGUGGCGGACGGGUGAGUAACACGUGGGAACGUGCCUUUAGGUUCGGAAUAGCUCCUGGAAACGGGUGGUAAUGCCGAAUGUGCCCUUCGGGGGAAAGAUUUAUCGCCUUUAGAGCGGCCCGCGUCUGAUUAGCUUGUUGGUGGGGUAAUGGCCCACCAAGGCUACGAUCAGUAGCUGGUCUGAGAGGAUGACCAGCCACAUUGGGACUGAGACACGGCCCAAACUCCCACGGGAGGCAGCAGUGGGGAAUCUUGCGCAAUGGGCGAAAGCCUGACGCAGCCAUGCCGCGUGUAUGAUGAAGGUCUUAGGAUUGUAAAAUACUUUCACCGGUGAAGAUAAUGACUGUAGCCGGAGAAGAAGCCCCGGCUAACUUCGUGCCAGCAGCCGCGGUAAUACGAAGGGGGCUAGCGUUGCUCGGAAUUACUGGGCGUAAAGGGAGCGUAGGCGGACAUUUAAGUC